UACGUAGGGUGCAAGCGUUAAUCGGAAUUACUGGGCGUAAAGCGUGCGCAGGCGGUUAUGCAAGACAGAGGUGAAAUCCCCGGGCUCAACCUGGGAACUGCCUUUGUGACUGCAUAGCUAGAGUACGGUAGAGGGGGAUGGAAUUCCGCGUGUAGCAGUAAAAUGCGUAGAUAUGCGGAGGAACACCGAUGGCGAAGGCAAUCCCCUGGACCUGUACUGACGCUCAUGCACGAAAGCGUGGGGAGCAAAC
This 250-nucleotide ribosomal RNA is filed under the name uncultured bacterium. Its description in RNAcentral is "partial 16S ribosomal RNA". It matches the Rfam family "Bacterial small subunit ribosomal RNA", at positions 524 to 773 of the family's 1533-position model. The record is from RNAcentral.